CACAGCAGGGGGUUGGAACUACAUGAUCAACGUGGUCCUUUGCAACCCAGGCCCAUUCUAUCAAUGGAGCUGUGGCAGUCCUUGUUCAUCACAGGGAAUGGCACCAGGUAGCCCUUUCUGCAUCCCUUUCAACUCGAUAGUUCAAUGAUUCUCACAGUAGGGACAAUUCUUCUGGUAUCUUCUGUGAUCCUGUGUUCUUCCUACCAGGACAACUCCACAUCCUCCCCCUCCUUCCUAUCCCAAUAGGAGAGCAGACACCAGGAGCAGAAGGAUCUCUGCAUAUAGUAAAAGAUGAGUAGAGAAGGGCCUGGAUAUUAAAUAGGCUUAAAACAUGCUCUUAAAACAAAACCUGGACGCUUUGUUGGGAGAUGAGUUGUUUCUCUGAGUCUUUUUGUGUUGAAAUCAUGCAAUGAGAGUGUCCAUUUUAAGGUUAUUGGGGAUCAUCCAGCGUCGUUUCCUGGUAUUUAGAGCGGAAACGUGUUGGAAAUGGAGCAGGAUUGUGAGAGCUGUGCUUCCUGCCAGCUGUAGGCUGAGAGGUUGUACAUAACAGCACAUCCAUCUCAGGUGGCCUGAAUACAGCAAGAAGCAGAACAGAAGGUAGAAGAAACAGAGACUGUGUUGGAGAUUCAGGCUGUACCAGAGCUCCCAAAGUACCACCAUCCAUAGGGAUACCUUCUCUUCUUGUGGUUGAAUGGAUCUCUCAUGGGGGAAUAAAAUAGCCACUGUUGCUUCAAAUAGUGUUUCAGAGCACUUAUGUGUAACCAGCCCCAAUGGUUUCUUCUUGCUUCGAUUCAAGCAGUGAUGGAAGGGAUUGAAAGGUCAGCGAUGCUGGAGUUGGUGAUACAGCGAUAGAUACGGUGAUAGAAAACAAACAAACAACAAACGCGUUUCUUUUGGGUUUAUGAGUAAGGAGACAGAAAGGGAACAAGGCUGCUUUUGGCUCCUGUGACUUUUCCUGCAGGAAGGUUGGGUACGAUUUCCAUUUGAACAUCUUGAAAUAGCUCCUGGCUGAGUUGGAGACGAGCAGAAGCAGCGUAAAAAUAAUCUGAGGAUCCAAGAAAACACAGCAAGGGGAAACUGGUUGGUUUCCAGGGAGCACCGGGCUGCAGUAACAUCACAGAGGGAAGGCAGCCAGCACUGAGUGUGUCCUCUCAUCUGCCUGAUGGAAGCACGGCUCACAUCACUGACCUGCAGGGAAAUCAGGUAGUUCAGGUUUGAACAGGGUGUAGCUGUGAUGGGGAGGUGGGCUGCCUUCACUAAUGGAUAACGGAAGGGAAAUGUCCUCAAGGAUUAUGAAGCUCCAACCACAGGCAGGGCCACCAACCUCCAUAUUGAUACCAGCCCAGGCUGCCCAGGGCCCCAUCCAAGCUGGCCUUGAACACCUCCAGGGAUGGACGGGGCAUCCACAGCCUCUCUGGGCAGCUGUUCCAGCACCUCACCACUCUCAUAGUGAAGAACUUAUCGCUCCUGUACAAGGUGGCACUGUGGGCAGGGCAGUCCUUGGCUCUCUGCUCACAUUAGCUUCCCUGAAAGCAAGCACUAAAAAUACUGCAGGGCACGUUGUCACUAUCGGGAAUGGCAUCAUAGAGCUGAGAGCGAAGGGGAGAAGUAUCAUAUUUAGUUAUAAAGGGGGUUGUCUCAGAGCUGGGUGAUGCAGGAGGAGGACUGGGUUGUUCUGAAUGUGGUGAUGGGUGGUGGCUGCAGAUCUUCAUUUAGGAUCAGCGGAGGGAGGGGUUUUUGGUUUGCAGCCACCUAUAAAAUGGCUAUUUACAAACUUUCUUCUCCGAAAUGAUCUCACCCUCAGUGUUUAACUCUGGUGGAAAAUAAUGUGGAGGGACUUGCAGUGAUGGAGUCUGGAUUGCAGCAGUGGAAGUGAUGCAACAGGGAUACUGGAAAGCAUGUGAGCAAUGAGACAAAGGCUCUGUGUGAACCUGCACAGUGUUGUUGGGUGUCUCCAGAGCUGCUCUGGUCAUUGAUCCCAAGCCCUUUUCAAACCACUUCUCAAUGAAUCUAACAGUGCAUUAGUGAGCUUUGUCUGCAUGUGAAACCGCCCCAUUCGUGCUGAUUGGAGCGAUAUUUGAAGUGAUGUAAGAAUAAUUCAGCUGUAUCAUCAAGGGAGUCAGCCCUAAAUAAAUGAUAGGGAAGAUGAGCAAGCGUUUGGAUAACAGGAGUGAGCUGUGAAUGGGUUUGACCUGUUUUCUGAACGCUGCGAUGAGAUGGAUGAAGGCAAAACCAUUUGGCUCAGGGACCAAAACCACCUAAAAGAGAAAAUGAGCAGCUAAGGGAAGAGAGCAGAAGGGUGCAGGGAAGAGCCUUCGUCAUGGAAGAAACUGGGAUGGGAGGCUCGACACCGUACCUACCCAUAGAGAUCUGCUAUAGGAGACUUAAAGCUGGUUCAUGGAAUCCAGAUAGUCCCUGUUUUGUUCUUUUUAAUCCAUUAAAGAGAUCAUUCAGGCAUUGAUUUCAAAGACUGACGCCUUAUAGUGGUGUAAGGAUGUGAGUUCUUAGAAAGCUGGGGAAAAAUAGAGCUGAAGGAGUGGGAUGGUGGGCAUAGAAUCAUAGAAUCACAGAAUUAUCAAGGUUGGAAAAGACCUAGAAGAUCCAAGAUUGUGAAAUGCCAUUGCUGGACUCUCAUGUCCACUCUUUGCUCAGUUACUCCUUUAGUUGUUUGACUCUGUAAUCUCAAGGGCAUUUUUACAUCAAGUUUUGAUGAAGUGCUGUGGAAAAGCAGGUGUUAUAAUAUGGAGCUGUGUGGAUCCUUAGGGAUUUAACAGCAAGUGCAGACCUCCAGUGUUAAUGGGCUGGUGUGAUGCAUUGGAAGGGACUCGUGCAAUCACAGUUGCAUGCAGCCACUUACUCCAAGUGCCAGCUUGGAUUUUAACCCUUUAUAAAGCACUUGAUUGUUGGGUAUUACAAAGAGAUGUGCCCCUCCUUGGAAGGAGUCUAAGAGAACCCCGCGUUAAUUGGGUACAAACCUGAGUGUGGUUUAUUUAAAUGAAGAUUAAGUGAUCUAUUCAACGACUUCAGGCUCCACCUGAGACACACACACCUGUAUUUGGCUUCCAGAGGAUUUUCCUCAUUAAUUAGGAGCGCUUUCCUUGUGUUGUUACUUAAUUGGAUGCCACCAGGAACCUGAUGAGACAAUGAAGUGGUCUUAAUUGCAUCCAAACGCAAUGCACGAUGCCUCACGUAAUGGGCUGCUCCGUGGCACGACCUGCUGCUUGUUAUCAUCUACUAAUAGCAAUAGGAAUCGCUCAGAUUAAAAACAAAGGAGCCCAUUAGAUUCGGUACGUCGUUAAUUAAGCACUCUCCUGUAGACAGCUCCCCUAUUUGUCAUGCCUCACAUAAGAAGUUUGCCAAGUUUGGUAACGUAGGGUACUACAUUAAGAUGCUCUUCUCCACCUUGUGGGGGUGGGUUGGGGAUCCCGUAUCUCUUCUCCAACCUGAAUGAUUCUGUCGUUCUGUGCUUUUAUGCUUUAAAUACGAUUUAGCUGGGAAGUAUUGGGAAUGGUUGGACUAGAUGAUCUUCUAGGUCUUUUCCAACCUCGAUAAUUCUGUGAUUUAUCUUUUGGGGAUGGUGGGACCAAGAGUAGAAGAAGGAGGAAUAGAAGGACCCUUCCCCAUGUCGUGCCUGUGCCUGAUCAGCUUUCCCAAACAGCAGGUCCAUGUGUUGAUGCCAUGAAUUAUGGAUGUAGCUGUCGUCACCCACAGAGCUCUGAAUGUCUGCUUGGAGUUAACCAGUUCUAGUCAGCACUAGACAGUGGAAUACACCCAAGAUGUUCUCUCUUGGAAAUGAGCCCUGGGCAGCCUGGGCUGGUAUUUAAUGUGGAGGUUGGUGGCCCUGCCUGCAGUGGGGGUUGGAGCUUCGUGAUCCUUGAGGUCCCUUCCAAGCUGGGUCAAUGAUUCUAUUGUUCUGUCUGCUGAGAUGUAGGCUUGUCCUUAAGGAAAACAUGGGAUUAAUUGGCUGGUAUCCUCACAACCAACCUGUGCCAGCAGGAGGAAAGACUUUACGAGGGUUCUUAUUGCAGGCUGUGAGUGGAGAGCUGAGCAGCAAUAGGACUGCAACGGAGAGCACCAGGCUGCUCAGCCCAAAUAAAAGCUCCGUGCCUUGUUAGAAGGGGGGUGUUGUUCUCAACCAGCACCACCAACCAUGGAAGGCAAUGCAGUCAGGUGCUGCUUCCCUUUAUUGACACCAGCAGUUCCUAGGAGUAUCAGCUCCUCAGCAGAAAGCAAUUCCAGCAUCUGUUUGAAAUGCAGCGUAGGGAUCUGUUUGCCAUGUGAUUCAUCUCAGCAUCAAAAGCCAGGCUGUGAAUUUGGCUGGGCCGAUGGCUGGUUUCCUCUUCGUCGCUUCCAGGGCUGCGGUGGGAGCUGCUGACAUUCCUCUGCACACAGCCCUGGUUGUUCCAGGAGAUCCGUGAAUGCAGCACUGCUUAAAAGGAAAACAAAUGUUCCUCUGG
Coturnix japonica (Japanese quail) is the source of this 4457-nucleotide non-coding RNA. Lineage: Eukaryota; Metazoa; Chordata; Aves; Galliformes; Phasianidae. The record is from RefSeq and is a predicted model, not a curated record.